Molecule: non-coding RNA, 430 nt
Filed under: Pongo abelii (Sumatran orangutan)
Lineage: Eukaryota; Metazoa; Chordata; Mammalia; Primates; Hominidae
Source: RNAcentral
AUUGAUAAAUAAACAAAUCCUGUUGCUGCUCACCAAGAGGACUGCUUAACAGAUUUACCCAUGUGAGAAGUGGCUCACUUACAAGUUAAUGCCCACGCACCCAAAGGGCCAGGUCCUGCAUUUUUUCACUUCACCGAUGCCAAAGCCACUUUGCCCACCUUUGCAGCAGACGCAGGGAAUUAACUAUCUCAAGAAGUGGCCCUUAAUUAUUAACUGAUGGCAGCUGGUCCCAGGGUAUCCAAGAAGCUGUCAUCCAGGUCUUCUCCAAUGAAGCUACAACAACCCACAGAGCCAGCAGGGGAACCUACACCUUCGAUAUCAUAUAUGAGCAAACAGUCAUUAGAUGGGCGUCCUUCAUCUUCAUCUGCAUGGACUUAUUUAUAAUUGUGUACUUUGGACAUAAAACCAUACACAAAAAAAUCACAUGAAU